GAUGAGAACGCAGCGAAAUGCGAUAAGUAGUGUGAAUUGCAGAAUUCAGUGAAUCAUCGAAUCUUUGAACGCACAUUGCGCCUCCUGGUAUUCCGGGAGGCAUGCCUGUUCGAGCGUCAUUAAAAUCACUCAAGCUUAGGUUUACCUAUUGCUUGGUCUUGGAGAUGGAAGCCAAUUUAUUGGAAUCCUCUUCGAAAUUCAAUGGCGAAGACCCUUGCUCUCCCAAGUGUAGUAAUAACUUAUGUCACUGAAGGAAGCGAGAAAUCUUCUGCCGUAACCCCCAUAUUUUCUAUGAUUGACCUCGGAUCAGGUAGGGAUACCCGCUGAACUUAAGCAUAUCAAUAAGCGGAGGA
Molecule: unclassified non-coding RNA, 353 nt
Filed under: soil metagenome
Description: partial contains 5.8S ribosomal RNA, internal transcribed spacer 2, and large subunit ribosomal RNA
Rfam family: 5.8S ribosomal RNA (bases 5-119)
Source: RNAcentral